This 624-nucleotide long non-coding RNA is filed under the name Phasianus colchicus (ring-necked pheasant). Its description in RNAcentral is "lncRNA (ENSPCLG00000020098.1)". Lineage: Eukaryota; Metazoa; Chordata; Aves; Galliformes; Phasianidae. The record is from RNAcentral.
UUUGGGGGGAAAUCACCCAGAUUUGGGGUGAAAUCCCACAGUUUUGGGGGGAAAUCCCACAGAUUUGGGGGGGAAGACUAAAGUUUUGGGGUCAAAUCCCAGAGAUCUGGGGGGAAAUCCCACAGGUUUGGGGGGAAAACAAAGUUUUGGUGUCAAAUCCCACAGGUUUGGGGGGAAAUCCCACAGGUUUGGGGUCAAAUCCCAGAGUUUUGGGGGAAAAUCCCACAGAUUUGGAGGGAAAACCGAAGUUUUGGGGUCAAAUCCCACAGGUUUGGGGUCAAAUCCCCCAGAUUUGGGGUCAAAUCCUAAAGUCUGUGGGUCCAGUCCCACAGUUCUGCAGUCAAAAAGCCACGCUGGGGCCACACGAAACCAUUUUGGGGCCAAUCGGAGCCAUUUUGGGGCCACGGCAACCAUUUUGAGCAGAAUUUUAGCCAUUUUGGGGCCAUUUAAGUCCAUUUUGGGGCCAUUCUAGGGCCGUUUUGGGGCAAAUUAAGCGGAUUUUGGGUCUUUUGGGUACCUUGGUGUGGCCAGUCUUGGAGCUGCACAUCUCCACCAUCCUACAAGGGCCAUUUUGGGGCCAUUUUUUACCAUUUUGGGGCCAUUUUUAACCAUUUUAGGGCCAUU